CAAAUUCAAGACCUCACACCCGCCAGGCAGGUGCUGUGCCACUGAGCUAUAUCACUGGACCUUGAUUUAUUUGAUUCACGGCUUUGCAGACUGCCAAGUUCAAACCACGGCAUUGGUACAGUUGCCCAGGUGAUAGUUCCUGUUCCAGAUCCGGUUGCUCCUGUCUUAGGAACGGCUGGUCACUGUGAUGCGCAUUGUGUAAACCCAUCCCCAUUGACAAGCCGUUCUGCCUCUGUCUUCCUGCUGCUUCUCCCAUAUGAGCCCUACACCGCCAGAUAUCAGGGCCUGAUAUUUCCGGAGUGCUCCCGAUCGGUGCCCGUUGAUGUGAACAGCAUCUUGGUAAUCUGCUAUGUUGCCUAGGCUGGGCUCAGACUUGUGACCCUCCUGCCUCAGCCUCCUGAGCUGGGAUUACAGCGUGCUGCCGGAAGUCCUGCCCCAUUACCUUUGAAGAAAGCAGCUGGGUGCCGCAACACUUGCUCCGGGGCUGUGUGCCAAGGCUCCAGACCCAUCCCAGGAGGAUGACAGGGAGGGACAUAGGGAGCUACUGGUGACCCACUUCCUGUAUGUGCACAGGCUGAAUCUAAGGACGAAGAAAACUAGCCUGGAGGAAUGGCUGCGGGUCAGCAGUGUAGAGGUGACCAGGGAAGACACAGGACAGAAUGAGCUAAUCCAGAACAAUGUACUACAGAAAGAAGACAGAGAUUACAACAUGCAAAAACUGACCACUAUUUGCUACUUCUGCGAACAGUUUGGCAACUGCAGCCUCCCCAGUUCUGAGGCCAACAACUUGUUCAUUUGAUGAAGGCGGUCUUAGGAUAUUGUUUCCAUCGAUGUAUGAACAACCGUGCAUCUUCUCUCUCGGCCCACUUGUCCUGACAGAAGUUUCUUAGUAUGAUACUAUCACAACGAGGCCAUUGCAAGCACCCAAGGGAAGAGGUCAGUAGACACAGACAACAGAAAUUUUUUUAAUAAUUAAUGAUACAGAGACUUACAGAAACGGUUCAAGAAAGCAGGAAACAGCAAUGCUCCCAACUGGGUUUACAGAAUUUUCAAGUUUCCCAUUGUUCCUGCAUUGUGAGAAGGAAAACGCCUUCCUUGCCAUCUGUCAGAGAACUUCCACUUCCCUUCUUCUUCUGCCUGGCUCUCAGAAGUCUCUGCAGUGGCUGUGUCUGCCCUUCAGUUGCCAUCAACACAAAUCAUCAAGAUUGGAACACUCCAGAGUUUAUUCUGAGAUUACCUGAGUUAAAGGUAAUUUUUCCAAGUAGACCACAUACUGUAGCAGGUCCAGAUUUCAAGGUUGCUUUCGCUAUGUCCAUUUCUAUACAUGGUGUUUCCACAUUUAUCAUGGUUAUCUGUGCAUUAUUAGAAGAAAUACAGGCUGGGGGGUGCACCCCAGUGAUGGAGUUCGUGAUCAGCAUGCACAGGCCCUAACUUCCAUUCCCAGUACCGAAACACAACACAACACACCAUACCGCAACACCUUAUUCACUCAGAGUCUGGUGUCAGGUUGCCAGGGUUUGCGUCUCAGGAUAACCCACCAUCCUGAUAUUCCUAAGACUGAGGAGGUUCACAGGGGUGCAGAACUUGUCAGAAUUAAAACCAGGACAAUGAUCACCCUACAGUGGCGGCCAAUCUACGGCACACGUGUCGCUGCGGGCUCUGUGUGUCACUGAAAUCUCUCAAAGUUUGCCAUCACUGUCCUAGGAUUUUUCUACUUGCUAACUGUGUGACCUUACACAAGGUACUUAACCUCUCAGAGCUUCAGGUUGCUCACAUCUAAAAGGGAGAAAAGGGUUUCUAGCAACAUGGAAGUAUAUUGGGGCUUUAAAAUAAGUUAAUACUUAUAAAACGCGAACACUUUCUGUCAUGUGUGUGUUUGUUAAAUUAAAAAAUUAAGGAAGACAUUUUCCUCUAGACGUAAUCUCAGUGUUCAAACAAUUCUUUUAUUUUCUGCCAUUCCCUUAGAGGCUUAAAAAAGUGCAUUUCUUGUUAAUACACAUAUAUAAUUCUGACAAUUUGAGUUUUUAUCGUCUAGUAAUUUUUACAUAUACAAUACGUACUCAAAAAUAACCCUUCCACAGUAAAGUGGAACUGAAGGGACGCGAGUGUAAACUGAAGGGUGGCAAAGAGGCUCUCCAGGUUGAAGGUGCCGCCAAGCCCUUGACUCUGUCUCCCUUCUGCCCUUACACUGCCUGGAGCAGCGCCCCCUUACGUAACUGUCGUGCGCAGUUGGGCUUGUACGCUUAUUACUGCGCGAGGGAGCAGGCCGGGGGCCGGGCGGUGGGCGUAAGGAGAGCCCCGCGGCAGCUUCCUGCGUCGUGGGCGAGAGCUUGGCCGGAGACUACUGACACCUGAAAACUUGCAGCAGAAAUGAAAGACCGGUGAGCAUUAGCACUCUGACACCAGAUUAAUCACCCCUUCUCCAGGGAAGGGGAGUGGC
Long non-coding RNA from Chinchilla lanigera (long-tailed chinchilla), 2440 nucleotides. RefSeq lists it as uncharacterized. NCBI's taxonomy places the organism in Eukaryota, Metazoa, Chordata, Mammalia, Rodentia, Chinchillidae. The transcript is spliced from 7 exons. The record is from RefSeq and is a predicted model, not a curated record.